GAUGCCAGGGUCAAAAGGUCUAAGCCCACAUGAGCUUGCUCAUAAGUGGGUGAAAGACCUUUUGACCCGCCCCGAUAUUCGCAUAAAAGUGGGAUGAUAAUCCCACGAUAUGCGAAUAUUGGGUAGGAUUGUGGGAGUGCGUAGCACGGAACAAUCCGUAGGCAUC
RNAcentral lists this small RNA (166 nucleotides) under uncultured Acetatifactor sp. RNAcentral's name for it is "Clostridiales-1 RNA". It matches the Rfam family "Clostridiales-1 RNA". The record is from RNAcentral. Lineage: Bacteria; Bacillati; Bacillota; Clostridia; Lachnospirales; Lachnospiraceae.